RNAcentral lists this non-coding RNA (39 nucleotides) under Plasmodium falciparum 3D7. Lineage: Eukaryota; Apicomplexa; Aconoidasida; Haemosporida; Plasmodiidae. The record is from RNAcentral.
AUUUCCUGCACCUGUUUGACCAAACACAAAAUUAUCUGG